UGGGGAAUAUUGGACAAUGGGCGCAAGCCUUAUCCAGCCAUGCCGCGUUAGUGAUGAAGGCCCUAGGGUUGUAAAGCUCUUUCACCGGUGAAGAUAAUGACGGUAACCGGAGAAGAAGCCCCGGCUAACUUCGUUCCAGCAGCCGCGGUAAUACGAAGUGGGCUAGCGUUGUUCGGAUUUACUGGGCGUAAAGCGCACGUAGGCGGACUUUUAAGUCAGGGGUGAAAUCCCGGGGCUCAACCCCGGAACUGCCUUUGAUACUGGAAGUCUUGAGUAUGGUAGAGGUGAGUGGAAUUCCGAGUGUAGAGGUGAAAUUCGUAGAUAUUCGGAGGAACACCAGUGGCGAAGGCGGCUCACUGGACCAUUACUGACGCUGAGGUGCGAAAGCGUGGGGAGCAAACAGG
RNAcentral lists this ribosomal RNA (404 nucleotides) under Actinomycetes bacterium. RNAcentral's name for it is "Actinobacteria bacterium partial 16S ribosomal RNA". It matches the Rfam family "Bacterial small subunit ribosomal RNA", at positions 355 to 776 of the family's 1533-position model. Lineage: Bacteria; Bacillati; Actinomycetota; Actinomycetes. The record is from RNAcentral.